UACAACACUUAGGCUGUAGAAAGUUUCAGAGACAGCUGAAUCAAUAUUCAGAGCAUCAGUUUUUCUUCAUUGUAGGCUACUAUAUCAAAAGCAACUUUAACUUUUGUUUGCCUUUCUAAUAUCGUAUUUUCACUUUCACAACAUCCACUUCCCAAUCUGCUAAACUAGGGUAUUAAGUCAUAGCCCUAGUCUACGUGCAGUAAAUAGUUUGAGUAUUUUAUUUAAGUGGAGUAGAACUACUAGGCCUACUCUAUGUCACUACUGUUGACAUCUUAUUAUCAUGUAUGAUCGCUAAACUUUGAUUCUUUUUAAUGUCGCAAUCGGUUAACUCCAUUCUACUGUGCUUGUGGUUCAGC
Alosa sapidissima (American shad) is the source of this 356-nucleotide long non-coding RNA. RefSeq lists it as uncharacterized. NCBI's taxonomy places the organism in Eukaryota, Metazoa, Chordata, Actinopteri, Clupeiformes, Clupeidae. The record is from RefSeq and is a predicted model, not a curated record. The transcript is spliced from 3 exons.